AGAAAUUGACGGGGGCCUGCACAAGCGGUGGAGCAUGUGGUUUAAUUCGAAGCAACGCGCAGAACCUUACCAGCGUUUGACAUGGCAGGACG
RNAcentral lists this ribosomal RNA (92 nucleotides) under uncultured Sphingomonas sp. Its description in RNAcentral is "partial 16S ribosomal RNA". It matches the Rfam family "Bacterial small subunit ribosomal RNA", at positions 905 to 996 of the family's 1533-position model. Lineage: Bacteria; Pseudomonadati; Pseudomonadota; Alphaproteobacteria; Sphingomonadales; Sphingomonadaceae. The record is from RNAcentral.